RNAcentral lists this ribosomal RNA (142 nucleotides) under Thermovirgaceae bacterium. Its description in RNAcentral is "partial 16S ribosomal RNA". It matches the Rfam family "Bacterial small subunit ribosomal RNA", at positions 1 to 136 of the family's 1533-position model. Lineage: Bacteria; Thermotogati; Synergistota; Synergistia; Synergistales; Thermovirgaceae. The record is from RNAcentral.
CUUAUGGAGAGUUUGAUCCUGGCUCAGGACGAACGCUGGCGGCGUGCUUAACACAUGCAAGUCGAACGGUCCGCAUAGAUAGCUUGCUAGCUAUGCGGAUAGUGGCGGACGGGUGAGUAACGCGUGAAUACCUGUCCAUCGG